CCAGCCACUUCACCAGGAUGACAUAUUACCAAUAAACUCCAAUGAAGAUUGAAAUUUACAGGGACGAAAACAUAGUCUUUUCCAAACAUGUCCACUUUCCUUGUCCAUUUAUGAACACGUAAAAAAGCAGCCCUACCAUCUGAAGCACUGGAUGGAUCUUUGUCUAGAUCCGCAAGCUUCCGAAAGAAAAAGCUAUUAAAAAAAUGGAACCUAUGCUUCUCGUCAGGUGGAAUCUGAUUCUUUAAAUACUUGAUAUAAAAGUCAAUAAUUGUAUCAUUGAUAAAUUUCUCAGGUUGUAGUAGAUCAAAAUCUCUCUUGCUAAUGGAAACUGCAUCUGAAUCCCCCUUCGGAUAGACAACAUCUUCAACAGCCUCAUCAAAAAUCGGAAAAUAAGGCCUCUGUCGAAGCAAGUCAGAUCUUUCAUCCAUUGAGACAUUCUCAUGCACCAUGGCAGAUAAAGCUAAAUAUUUAAUAUUCAGAGAUGCAAUCUCCUCCAAUUUCCCAGACCAGUUGGGCUCAUAAAUUGCAAACUCCAGCUGCUCAACCCCAUAGGCAUUAGUUGAUUGUGCAGCAUCCUUCGAUAGUAAGUGGAGCUUAACAGUGACGGUUCCAAACCUUUGAAGAUGCUGAGACUCAAUACGAAUAAUAUCAUCAAUUCCCCUUUCAAAUCUAAAGGUUCCAUCGUCUCCAUAUGCAGGCAUACCACUGAUUUUAAUUCCAUCACAAGAAAAAGUUACCAGGCACCCGGUACAGUAAUUAUCCCGAUAUACAACAUAAUCAACUGCAAUAUUUAUGAUAUCCAUCUCUGAUGCGCUGAAAUAAUUGUUUGAUGAGUGGCCAUUUAAAAUAGCAUUCUCUGCAAUAUCAGAAGCAGGAGUUGAUGGAGAACUCUCGUUCAUGCUAGCAUCAGCAUCUGAUUUUACAUUGAACACUGGUCCACUGUGAGAAGGAGAGGCCGCAAGGGCACAAUUAGAUUGGCUUUUCCGAGGUGACAGUGCUUCAUUGUAUGAAACCCUUCCCUCCUGUUCAAUAAAAGAGCUUUUGGAUUCAUUAUUAUCCAUCUUUGAACAAGAGUCUUUUUCAUGACUCAGAGAUUCUGACUGGUAAGCCCCAUCUCGGUUGUCUUCUUUGGUGGUAGAGUCGUCUCUAACCGCUUCCAAAGGGGAGUAUGCAGUAGCACUGUAAGAACUAUUGCCAUAUUCAAUUGCAUCAACAUCUAUACAAGUUAUGGUGCCACUUUCCUUUUUUACAGCAGCAGAUCCCUGGGCAACGCAUUCGAGGAAGUCGCACUUCAAAAAAGCGGGAUUGUCAAGGCUAGGGUUUUUGAACUUGCGGAGGAUUUUACCAGCUGCAUAUUCAGCGAGCUCGUCCUCUUCCUUGAAAUCGAAGACCUCGAGUCCACUCUUCAUCGCGAAGAGAUGAGCGAGUGAACAACUCAGAUUCAGCCAGCAAGACUCGGACAGAGAAAAAGCAGGAGGAAGACUCGCUGAGUUGACAUGUACGGCUUUAUAUGUUUGUUGAUGAUCCAACGAGGGAGAGAGUCAGAAAG
RNAcentral lists this unclassified non-coding RNA (1549 nucleotides) under Hevea brasiliensis (rubber tree). The record is from RNAcentral. Lineage: Eukaryota; Viridiplantae; Streptophyta; Magnoliopsida; Malpighiales; Euphorbiaceae.